This is a long non-coding RNA of Populus euphratica (Euphrates poplar), 507 nucleotides long. RefSeq lists it as uncharacterized. Lineage: Eukaryota; Viridiplantae; Streptophyta; Magnoliopsida; Malpighiales; Salicaceae. The record is from RefSeq and is a predicted model, not a curated record. The transcript is spliced from 3 exons.
CUUUCCUUGCAUCACUUUCUUCCGAUCCUCCCUCUCUCCGCUCAAAGUUAUUAUACCCUUUUCUUUUCAUGGCAUCACUGUAUUAGUCCUCUUCAGGAAGGUGGCUGGAAUACACAGAAAUAAUACGGCUCUGGUGCCCAAGAUAGCAAAUAUGAGCAAAGAUUGUCAUAAUUGGAAGCCAGUGAAAGAGGAGUUCACAUUUCCUGCAAACUCUGUUCCCUUCAAUAGCUGCCAUGCCACUACCGUUGUUGCAAAUGUCUAAUUGGGUUAUCUAAUUCUCUUCGAAUUCUUACAGUUUGCCUUCAUCAUCUGCAGUGUAACGUUUUGCUGAUCUGUGCUUUGUGCAGUUUGAUAAAGAUCACCUUUUGGUUGCUUAUUUUAGAGGUACAAAAGAGGGAGCACCCGAUGUUUAAAUUUGGAUACAGACAUACAAAGGCUUUCCAAUCCUGCUGCAUAUCUGCUGAUGGGAUUUCUCCCAAAAGCCCAAUUGUAGUCCUCCAAGGUGGC